CCGCAUUAGUGAUUGCAGCGGCAUCCUUUUUUAUGUCAUUGGGGGAAAUUGGUGCAGGCAAAAAGUCCGGGGCAUAAAAAAGAUAUAGCGGAAAGCACGGCCACUU
Molecule: small RNA, 106 nt
Filed under: Arenibacter algicola
Lineage: Bacteria; Pseudomonadati; Bacteroidota; Flavobacteriia; Flavobacteriales; Flavobacteriaceae
Description: Flavo-1 RNA
Rfam family: Flavo-1 RNA
Source: RNAcentral